RNAcentral lists this ribosomal RNA (1489 nucleotides) under uncultured bacterium. Its description in RNAcentral is "bacterial SSU rRNA". It matches the Rfam family "Bacterial small subunit ribosomal RNA". The record is from RNAcentral.
AGAGUUUGAUCCUGGCUCAGAUUGAACGCUAGCGGGAUGCCUUACACAUGCAAGUCGAACGGCAGCACGGACUUCGGUCUGGUGGCGAGUGGCGAACGGGUGAGUAAUGUAUCGGAACGUGCCCAGUAGCGGGGGAUAACUACGCGAAAGCGUAGCUAAUACCGCAUACGCCCUACGGGGGAAAGCAGGGGAUCGCAAGACCUUGCACUAUUGGAGCGGCCGAUAUCGGAUUAGCUAGUGGGUGGGGUAACGGCUCACCAAGGCGACGAUCCGUAGCUGGUUUGAGAGGACGACCAGCCACACUGGGACUGARACACGGCCCARACUCCUACGGGAGGCAGCAGUGGGGAAUUUUGGACAAUGGGGGAAACCCUGAUCCAGCCAUCCCGCGUGUGCGAUGAAGGCCUUCGGGUUGUAAAGCACUUUUGGCAGGAAAGAAACGUCAUGGGUUAAUACCCCGUGAAACUGACGGUACCUGCAGAAUAAGCACCGGCUAACUACGUGCCAGCAGCCGCGGUAAUACGUAGGGUGCAAGCGUUAAUCGGAAUUACUGGGCGUAAAGCGUGCGCAGGCGGUUCGGAAAGAAAGAUGUGAAAUCCCAGAGCUUAACUUUGGAACUGCAUUUUUAACUACCGGGCUAGAGUGUGUCAGAGGGAGGUGGAAUUCCGCGUGUAGCAGUGAAAUGCGUAGAUAUGCGGAGGAACACCGAUGGCGAAGGCAGCCUCCUGGGAUAACACUGACGCUCAUGCACGAAAGCGUGGGGAGCAAACAGGAUUAGAUACCCUGGUAGUCCACGCCCUAAACGAUGUCAACUAGCUGUUGGGGCCUUCGGGCCUUGGUAGCGCAGCUAACGCGUGAAGUUGACCGCCUGGGGAGUACGGUCGCAAGAUUAAAACUCAAAGGAAUUGACGGGGACCCGCACCAAGCGGUGGAUGAUGUGGAUUAAUUCGAUGCCAACGCGAAAAACCUUACCUACCCUUGACAUGUCUGGAAUGCCGAAGAGAUUUGGCAGUGCUCGCAAGAGAACCGGAACACAGGUGCUGCAUGGCUGUCGUCAGCUCGUGUCGUGAGAUGUUGGGUUAAGUCCCGCAACGAGCGCAACCCUUGUCAUUAGUUGCUACGAAAGGGCACUCUAAUGAGACUGCCGGUGACAAACCGGAGGAAGGUGGGGAUGACGUCAAGUCCUCAUGGCCCUUAUGGGUAGGGCUUCACACGUCAUACAAUGGUCGGGACAGAGGGUCGCCAACCCGCGAGGGGGAGCCAAUCCCAGAAACCCGAUCGUAGUCCGGAUCGCAGUCUGCAACUCGACUGCGUGAAGUCGGAAUCGCUAGUAAUCGCGGAUCAGCAUGUCGCGGUGAAUACGUUCCCGGGUCUUGUACACACCGCCCGUCACACCAUGGGAGUGGGUUUUACCAGAAGUAGUUAGCCUAACCGCAAGGGGGGCGAUUACCACGGUAGGAUUCAUGACUGGGGUGAAGUCGUAACAAGG